AUGGGCGAGCCCGCGGAUGGUUUCUUUCUCCGCCUUCCGCCGGAGCUCGUGGACGAGAUCCUACUCCGCCUUCCGCCGGACGAGCCCGCCUGCCUCGUCCGCGCCUCCGCCGUCUGCAAGCCCUGGCGCCGCUUCUUCGCCAGCGCGAACUUUCGCGGCCGCUACCGCGAGUUCCACGGGGCACCUCCCGUCCCGGGGCUCGUCCAAGAGGCCGCAAGCUUCUUCGCGAUAUCUGCGCUUCCAACCCUACCAGACCUUUCACACUUGGUCGCCGCUGCCCUGAAGGCCCUGGACUGCCGCCACGGACGCUACGUGUUUGACUCAUACGACCAGUACUGGCAGGGGGAUACCGUUCACCUGACCGUCCUGGACCCUCUGACGGGCCAUGGGCGUCGCAUUCCCACACCCAUGGACAAUCGUUUGCUCUGGUACAGUGUGGCCGUGCUCUGCGCCACACAAGGCUGCGACCACCACGAUUGCCAGGGAGGGCACUUCAGUGUGGUCAUCGUGACCACCAAUCACGAGCAAAGGGUGACCCUAGGUUGGCUCUACUCGUCCGAGACAGAGUUGUGGAGUGCUCUUACAAGUGUUUCCCAUCCAAAUGUCCUCAAGUAG
This 615-nucleotide ribosomal RNA is filed under the name Triticum aestivum (bread wheat). Its description in RNAcentral is "partial small subunit ribosomal RNA". The record is from RNAcentral. Lineage: Eukaryota; Viridiplantae; Streptophyta; Magnoliopsida; Poales; Poaceae.